Molecule: signal recognition particle RNA, 99 nt
Filed under: Burkholderiales bacterium
Lineage: Bacteria; Pseudomonadati; Pseudomonadota; Betaproteobacteria; Burkholderiales
Also listed under: 1 other name
Description: signal recognition particle sRNA small type
Rfam family: Bacterial small signal recognition particle RNA
About the family: The signal recognition particle (SRP) is a universally conserved ribonucleoprotein involved in the co-translational targeting of proteins to membranes. Archaeal SRP consists of a 7S RNA and homologues of the eukaryotic SRP19 and SRP54 proteins.
Source: RNAcentral
GGCGGGCCCCCUCGCAUGGAGGUGCCGUGAACCUGGUCAGGUCGGGAACGAAGCAGCCACAGCGGAUUGCCUUCAGUGCCGAGGACAAGGCUCGCCUCU